GAUGAAGAACGUAGCGAAAUGCGAUACUUGGUGUGAAUUGCAGAAUCCCGUGAACCAUCGAGUCUUUGAACGCAAGUUGCGCCCGAAGCCAUUAGGCCGAGGGCACGCCUGCCUGGGUGUCACACACCGUUACCCUCGCGCCAACGUCCAUCGUUGGCCGCGGCGCGGGGCGUGCGCUGACCUCCCGCGAGCGGGGUCUCGUGGUUGGUUGAAAAUCGAGUUCGCGGUCGAGGGUGCCGUGAUGAAAUGGUGGAUGGGCGACGCCCGAGGCCAAUCACGCGCGACUCUGUCCNGCNNNNNCUCCUGGACCCCUUCGGCGUCUCCGGACGCUCUUUGGCGAGACCUCAGGUCAGGCGGGGCUACCCGCUGAGUUUAAGCAUAUCAAUAAGCGGAGGA
RNAcentral lists this unclassified non-coding RNA (396 nucleotides) under soil metagenome. Its description in RNAcentral is "partial contains 5.8S ribosomal RNA, internal transcribed spacer 2, and large subunit ribosomal RNA". The stretch from base 1 to 122 matches the Rfam family "5.8S ribosomal RNA", at positions 35 to 154 of the family's 154-position model. The record is from RNAcentral.